RNAcentral lists this ribosomal RNA (252 nucleotides) under uncultured bacterium. RNAcentral's name for it is "partial 16S ribosomal RNA". It matches the Rfam family "Bacterial small subunit ribosomal RNA", at positions 525 to 776 of the family's 1533-position model. The record is from RNAcentral.
ACGGAGGGUGCAAGCGUUGUUCGGAAUUACUGGGCGUAAAGAGCGUGUAGGCGGGAUAGUAAGUCAGAUGUGAAAGCCCUGGGCUUAACCCAGGAAGUGCAUUUGAUACUGUUAUUCUUGAGUAUGGGAGAGGAGAGUGGAAUUCCUAGUGUAGAGGUGAAAUUCGUAGAUAUUAGGAGGAACAUCCGUGGCGAAGGCGACUCUCUGGACCAAUACUGACGCUGAGACGCGAAAGCGUGGGGAGCAAACAGG